This 206-nucleotide long non-coding RNA is filed under the name Elaeis guineensis (African oil palm). RNAcentral's name for it is "long non-coding RNA (EGUI_LNC069123)". Lineage: Eukaryota; Viridiplantae; Streptophyta; Magnoliopsida; Arecales; Arecaceae. The record is from RNAcentral.
GUGCCCAUUCAACCAGCAUGACUCUAAUCCAAUUCAAUGACUUGGUAAAGUCAGUGGGAGGAUUGUGGUUUACUGGUUGAUUUCUUUUUUUUUCAGUUUAUAAAUUAAAUCUUCUAAAUUAUUAGGUCCAUAAAAUAAGCUAGUUAUGGUGAUAAUAAGAUCAUAGCCUCCCAUUAAGUUGGGUGAUAAUGGAUCUAUUAGCAUGA